UUGCGGUUCGCCAUUUUGGAGUGUGCUGGGCUGUCCCCCAGAUUCCUGCGCGUCCGCCGUCAUUUGCAUAAAUUGGACGGAGAAAAGGAAGAAAUCUCGGAAUGGGAAUACAGAACGGCUUCAGUCCCACUGGGAAAAACGUAUUCUGACUUUUAUCUCAGAAUUCUUUCUGCUUUUUUUUUUUUUUAAGUCAAAAGUCCUUUUUCGUCGGCCUUAUGGUCCUCUUACUUACAAGUUACAACACAGUAAAUAGCAGAUGGGGAAAAAGAACAUUUUACAGAAUGUAUUAAGUGAUUUUUCCAUGUAUGGUUGUUACCAAUGAGUACGGUACUUUAUUUAUUUGUGAAAACACAAAGGCAUGUGUAUUCACAACAUCAUUAAAUAAAUAAGAUAAUUCA
Xiphophorus hellerii (green swordtail) is the source of this 398-nucleotide long non-coding RNA. RefSeq lists it as uncharacterized. The record is from RefSeq and is a predicted model, not a curated record. NCBI's taxonomy places the organism in Eukaryota, Metazoa, Chordata, Actinopteri, Cyprinodontiformes, Poeciliidae. The transcript has 2 exons.